CAGCCCCACUGUUAUCUGAUCCCCUGUUUUGGAGCCACUGUCGCAGCCAACAUAUCAUGGCAGCUUUAAGACUUAUAUGGCUUGGCAUUUUAUCAAAAUACAUCCUUGUUGAAUGUCAAAACAAAUGCGAAGAUACAGGUAAAGUAUACAUUUUAAUGUUAAUGAAAAAACAUGGAAUGAUGAAUAGAUUACGUUUUUGGUAAGCAUGGCAAGAAUUAUUACCUUAGUUCAACACUUGCAAAAUAUAAAUAUAAGUUUACUGCAUUGUGAAUGCAAUUUGUUUUUUAAAGGUAACUUUGUCGAGAUCCCUUAUUGAAAGCUUGUCUACGCAGGGUCUGAGUCACGUCUCAGAAAAAGAAGUUGUGUAUCCAUUUACAAAACCUUUCAAAAGUAUUCACACCCAUUUGACAUAUUAUUGUGUUUCAACGUGAUAUAAAAAUUAAUUAUAUUAGGAGUUAUUGCCACUGAUCAACACAAAAAGUCCAUUAUCUCAAAUUGAAAAAUAAAACCUGUAAAUUGUGAAUCCUUUUGAAAGGCACUGUAACAGCCUUUAAACAGUACAUCAAUGUUGUAUGGUCAUAUAAAGUGUACUUUUAUAGCUAUGUAUGUGAAAAAACAACCUAUUAAGCUUGGUAUCAAUAUUAGGCUAUGACACUGUGUACAAUGCACUUAUAAAACAAAAAUGGUAUUCUUAAUAAUUAGCAUACUAAUCCUUAAGGCUUUAUACUUCAUUCAAUUAAAACUUAAUGGUGGCCUCUUACUGAGUCAUUUGUUAUAUUUAGAGAUGUACCCUGCAAAGCCCUCUGGACCAUCUAAUGUGACUGAAGGGACCACAAUACAUUUCAAGUGUCAAACUAAUAGCAUCACUAUAAGCGGGGACAUGGUUCAUUUUUACCUUUGCAAGGAUGGAGUUGGGAUACAAAUGGCACCAAUGAAGAAAGGUGCUGAAUCUAUUUUCUUGUUAAAAGAAGUAAAAAAACAAGACUCGGGCAAGUACAGCUGUGUGUACAGCAAAUGUAAACACCCAGUCAGUCAAGUGAAGUCAACAGGGGAUUAUCUGGUCUUAUGGGUCAACAGAGACGAAGAUGUGGAAGAGAUAUGUAGUGACCAUAGACCAAGUGAGAUUCAGGAUAUGGGUCAAACCUACAGUGGAAUCUCUUCUGUACCAGGUAUGCUAUAUCAUGAGAUCCCUCUUGAUGUUGAAGAAGCAGCCUAUUCUGUGAUAGAUAAUUGGAGAGGUAUGGUGUGUCUAAAAGUAUGUAUAAGAAGUUACAUACUGUAACUUCUUAAAAAAAACGUAAAAAACAUAAUGUAUAAGAAAUAUGCAAAAAGGUCCAUAAUUCAUGAUAUAUUAUUAUGAAAUAACAUUAUUUCAAAACAGGAUUGAGACCAUCACUUACACAAAGGUAAGACAUACAUUGUUUCAUUUUUUUAUGACUGAAUCUUUCACUGUUAGUUGUUUGGACGGCAAUUACUGUGACCAACACAAAGGAGGCUUAAGUGUUGUGUGUCACAGGAUUGGAAGCACUAUCAGAAAAGGUUGAAAUCACCAUUCUCUUUUUAUUCCAAAAUAAUUAGAUACAUUCUGAUUUGAAAUUGUUUCUUCACACUAAAGCUUAUAAUCACCAAUAUUUUAAUUCUCUUGAGUGCAGUGUUAGAUCACUUGUUCUAGAGUAGUGUAAUAAUUAACAUUGAUUUGUGUAUCUAAUAAGUUGCCAGCUGUUUUUAUUUAACAGUCAUUGUUGAGCUCCUUUACAAAAUGUAACUUACAAAGAAACCGUUGUACAAACCCGAUUCCAAAAAAGUUGGGACAAUGUACAAAUUGUGAGUAAAAAAGGAAUGGAAUAAUUUACAAAUCUCAUAAACUUUAUAAAUAUUUAAUUCACAAUAGAAUAUAGAUAACAUAUCGAAUGUUGAAAGUGAGACAUUUUGUAAUGUCAUGCCAAAUAUUGGCUCAUUUCGGAUUCCAUGAGAGCAACACAUUCCAAAAAAGUUGGGACAGGUAGCAAUAAGAGGCCGGAAAAAUUAAAUGUACAGAUAAGGAAUAGCUGGAGGACCAAUUUGCAACUUAUUAUGUCAAUUGGCAACAUGAUUGGGUGUAAAAAGACACCGGAAGUAAGGGAUGC
Esox lucius (northern pike) is the source of this 2126-nucleotide long non-coding RNA. The record is from Ensembl. NCBI's taxonomy places the organism in Eukaryota, Metazoa, Chordata, Actinopteri, Esociformes, Esocidae.